UCCUAUGGGCGGGCCGUGUGGGAGGGGAGCAAUCCCCUGCCGGUGACUACUUCCGGUACGCCAACCUGCAUGGUCCCGCCCACCUCC
This 87-nucleotide non-coding RNA is filed under the name Bordetella avium 197N. Lineage: Bacteria; Pseudomonadati; Pseudomonadota; Betaproteobacteria; Burkholderiales; Alcaligenaceae. The record is from RNAcentral.